AAACGGUCAAGCUACAAAGGGCGCAGGGCGAAUGCCUUGGCACCGGAAGCCGACGAAGGACGUGGCCAGCUGCGAAAAGCUGUGGGGAGCCGCAAGCAGGCAUUGAUCCACAGAUAUCCGAAUGGGGAAACCCACCGGGAUUCAUACCCCGGUACGGUAUACUGAAUUCAUAGGUAUAUCGAGGGAACCGCCUGAACUGAAACAUCUAAGUAGGGCGAGGAAGAGAAAUCAAACGAGAUUCCGAAAGUAGUGGCGAGCGAAAUCGGAAUAGGCCAAACCGGAGGUAGAAAUACGUCCGGGGUUGAGGACUGCAUUUAGCAUUGUCAAGCUGUAGCAGAAGUGCAUGGGAAGGCACACCACAGAGGGUGAUAGUCCCGUAAGCGAAACGGUAAGACAGCGAGCAGUAUCCAGAGUACCGCGGGGCACGAGGAAUCCCGUGGGAAGCCGGGGGGACCACCCUCCAAGCCUAAAUACUAACCGGUGACCGAUAGCGUAUAGUACUGUGAAGGAAAGGUGAAAAGCACCCCGGGAGGGGAGUGAAAUAGAACCUGAAACCCUGUGCCUACAAGCACCUACAGCACGUCAACGUGUGGUAGGGUACCUUUUGUAGAAUGGUCCGGCGAGCGUAUGUAUGCAGCAAGGUUAAGGACUUUAAAGUCCGCAGCCGAAGGGAAACCAAGUCUGAAUAGGGCGUCAAGUUGCAUGCAUAGGGCCCGAAACCGGGUGACCUAUCCAUGUCCAGGCUGAAGUGGAGGUAAAACUCCAUGGAGGGCCGAACCAACCCCCGUUGAAAAGGUGGUGGAUGAGGUGUGGAUAGCGGAGAAAUUCCAAUCGAACCCGGAGAUAGCUGGUUCUCCCCGAAAUAGCUUUAGGGCUAGCCUCAUAAGAGAUUACCGGAGGUAAAGCACUGAAUGGUCUAGGGGCCGAGAGGCUACCGAAGCCUAUCAAACUCUGAAUGCCGGAUAAUUGCUUUAUGGGAGUCAGACUGCGUGAGAUAAGUUUCGCGGUCGAAAGGGAAACAGCCCAGACCCACAGCUAAGGUCCCAAAAUAUCGUUAAGUGUAGAAGGAUGUGGAGUUGUUAAAACAACCAGGAUGUUGGCUUAGAAGCAGCCACACAUUUAAAGAGUGCGUAAUAGCUCACUGGUCGAAUGACUCUGCGCCGAAAAUGUAACGGGGCUAAACGAUAUACCGAAGCUUGGGCUUGACGAGUAAUCGUCAGGGGUAGGGGAGCGUUGUGUAAGGGGUGAAGUCGUAGCGUAAGCGACGGUGGACAUUACACAAGUGAGAAUGCCGGAAUGAGUAGCGAGAAUUAUGUGAGAAUCAUAAUGGCCGAAAGCCUAAGGUUUUUGGAGGAAGGUUCGUCCGCUCCAAGUUAGUCGGGAGCUAAGGCGAGGCCGAGAGGCGUAGCCGAUGCACAUACGGUUGAAAUUCCGUAACCUCUGAAGGAUUUAAGCACAGGGACACUUUCAAAGUCCAUGUCCCGGGCGUUGGUAGACCCGGGCGUAAGGGAUCGAAAUUAAGUAGGGAAGCAUGGAUAGAGGAAGGCAAGAAAAGCUGUGUGUAUAUCUGAGGAGCCCGUACCGCAAACCGACACAGGUAGGUAGGAAGAAAAUUCUAAGGCCAACGGGAGAAGGGUUGUUAAGGAACUCGGCAAGUUGACCCCGUAACUUCGGGAUAAGGGGUGCUCUGGAAACAGAGCCGCAGAGAAUAGGCCCAGGCGACUGUUUAGCAAAAACACAGGUUUGUGCUAAAUCGAAAGAUGAAGUAUACGAGCUGACACCUGCCCGGUGCUGGAAGGUUAAGAGGAGAAGUGCAAGCUUUGAAUCGAAGCCCCAGUAAACGGCGGCCGUAACUAUAACGGUCCUAAGGUAGCGAAAUUCCUUGUCAGGUAAGUUCUGACCCGCACGAAUGGUGUAACGAUCUGGGCACUGUCUCAACAACCCGCCCGGCGAAAUUGUAGUACCGGUGAAGAUGCCGGUUACCCGCGACAAGACGGAAAGACCCCAUGGAGCUUUACUGUAGCCUAAUAUUGGAUUUUGGUAUUUCAUGUACAGGAUAGGUGGGAGGCUGAGAAGCCGGUACGUCAGUAUCGGUGGAGCCGCCGUUGGGAUACCACUCUUGAAGUACCGAAAUUCUAACCUGCGGCCAUGAAUCUGGUCGGGGGACAUUGUUAGGUGGGCAGUUUGACUGGGGCGGUCGCCUCCAAAAGAGUAACGGAGGCGCUCAAAGGUUCGCUCAGCAUGGACGGAAACCAUGCUUUUGAGUGUAAACGCAUAAGCGAGCCUAACUGCGAGACCUACAAGUCAAGCAGUAACGAAAGUUGGAGUUAGUGAUCCGGCGGUAUGUGAGUGGAAAUGCCGUCGCUCAACGGAUAAAAGCUACCCUGGGGAUAACAGGCUGAUCUCCCCCAAGAGUCCACAUCGUCGGGGAGGUUUGGCACCUCGAUGUCGGCUCAUCGCAUCCUGGGGCUGUAUUCGGUCCCAAGGGUUUGGCUGUUCGCCAAUUAAAGCGGUACGCGAGCUGGGUUCAGAACGUCGUGAGACAGUUCGGUCCCUAUCUGUCGUGGGCGUAGGAUAUUUGAAAGGAGCUGUCCCUAGUACGAGAGGACCGGGAUGGACGCACCUCUGGUGCACCAGUUGUCACGCCAGUGGCACAGCUGGGCAGCUAUGUGCGGAACGGAUAAACGCUGAAGGCAUCUAAGCGUGAAACCGCCCUUAAGAUAAGAUAUCCCACUGAGUAAUCAGGUAAGACCCCUUGAAGACUACAAGGUUGAUAGGCUCAAUGUGUAAGCGCCGUGAGGCGUUAAGCUUGCGAGUACUAAUCGGUCGAGGGCUUGACCUA
This 2842-nucleotide ribosomal RNA is filed under the name Acetanaerobacterium elongatum. RNAcentral describes it as "bacterial LSU rRNA". It matches the Rfam family "Bacterial large subunit ribosomal RNA". The record is from RNAcentral. Lineage: Bacteria; Bacillati; Bacillota; Clostridia; Eubacteriales; Oscillospiraceae.